This 440-nucleotide ribosomal RNA is filed under the name uncultured bacterium. RNAcentral describes it as "bacterial SSU rRNA". It matches the Rfam family "Bacterial small subunit ribosomal RNA", at positions 354 to 796 of the family's 1533-position model. The record is from RNAcentral.
GUUAAGAAUCUUGCACAAUGGGCGAAAGCCUGAUGCAGCGACGCCGCGUGAGCGAUGAAGGCCUUCGGGUUGUAAAGCUCUUUUCUGGGAGAAGAAACGGCGGGCAACCGCCCUGACUGUACCUCAGGAAUAAGCCUCGGCCAAUUACGUGCCAGCAGCCGCGGUAAGACGUAAGAGGCGAGCGUUGUCCGGAAUCACUGGGCGUAAAGCGCGUGUAGGCGGUUUGGUAAGUCGGAUGUGAAAUCUCCGGGCUCAACCCGGGAACUGCGUCCGAAACUGCCUUGCUCGAGAGCAGAAGAGGAGAGUGGAAUUCCGGGUGUAGCGGUGAAAUGCGUAGAUAUCCGGAGGAACACCAGUGGCGAAGGCGGCUCUCUGGUCUGUUUCUGACGCUGAGACGCGAAAGCGUGGGGAGCGAACGGGAUUAGAAACCCGAGUAGUCC